Molecule: non-coding RNA, 28 nt
Filed under: Mus musculus (house mouse)
Lineage: Eukaryota; Metazoa; Chordata; Mammalia; Rodentia; Muridae
Source: RNAcentral
GCAUGAGGACAGGGUNUUGAUGCUCAGG